Molecule: long non-coding RNA, 2285 nt
Organism: Triticum aestivum (bread wheat)
Lineage: Eukaryota; Viridiplantae; Streptophyta; Magnoliopsida; Poales; Poaceae
Exons: 8
Source: RefSeq, a predicted model, not a curated record
UCAUCCUUCUUGUUCCUCUUAUUUUCUUGGUUGAUGUGCUAAUCAUUUUAGUCAUCUAGAAGAUGAUUGAAAAACUGUGACGAGAAAUGAGAGAUGGACUCGGAUAUUUUGCCUCGUCAUGUCGCAUGGUGGCCGAGAUGCGGCAGCCCCAUGCUCUGUUCCGGUGGGCCUCCUCUGCUCGAUGGUUGCGGCUGGUUGAGUUUGGUACGGUUUCUUGUUGUCGCUUGCGGUGAGCCUUGUGUCCGUCUCUCCAUCUCAUUGAUACUACUUCUCCUGUCACUGGCGCUUCUUCUUCUCGUCCGUCCUGCUGCUUACCCAAUGUGCUUCUGCUUGCUGCCUUGGGUUGUAUGAUCUUUUCUGUCGCCGCAUUGUUCGACUCAUCAGGGUUUUCUUCUUUUCUUUCUACUACCUGUGUGCAUGUUUUACUUUCAGUAUCUUAUGUGUCUUGCUGUCUGCCUUGGUGAUCUUUUAAAUAUCUAUAUGUCGUGUUGAUCGUUUAAAUGUUCUGGAUAUGGUCAGGUGUUGUGUGUUGUUCGUUCUCGUGCUGCUUAUAUUUCGUGUAUACGUGUGAGAAGGAUGUGUACGCUUGUUUCCGUCCAUGAUGAAUCUCUGGUAGGACGAUUCCUUCCUUGGUUUCUCCUAUUCCAGAUUCAAUUUCCCAAAUUAGGAUACUAUUUUUUUCGAUGUGUCUUUUACAACUUUCAGUUUGAUAUAUGAGAGGGCCUGCAGAAGAUGAUCAAGCAAUGGAGACCUAAUUCGUGAACCUUGCCACACACUGGCAGGAAGGGAGAGGCGAGAGAAAGUUAGGCCAGGAACAACCAUUCUUGUCUAAAUAAUUAUCGUGUUAGAUAUCACAUCUCCAGAGAAGUAUAGGAUCCAUAGGCUAAAUGUGCUUAUAUACAUAUGUUUUGCCAUUUUAAGUAAAGGAUCUGGAGGUUCCCUGUAGGCUAGAGUUGCUUAUGUACGUAUGUUGUGCCAUUGUACAUUUGAGCCCUAUGGUGAUGAUCAAUGCAAAAUUGCGUCUUCCCAUGGCUUUGAGUUGACAAGCAUUUAAGGGGUUCUUUUACUUGCCAGGAUCAGUGUGUUCUCGACUUGUUGUGUCUCUGCAUUCUCUCUCAGCGGCCAUGUUGGUUCCUGAGCACCAUUUAUUCUUUAACAUUGAAGAAUCAGAUUUGGUGCUCAGACCUGAAAUUCAGAAAGAAAGAAAGAAGCAUUUGCUAGGUUCAACAAACGACGACCUUCACUGCCAUUAUAAAAGGCCAUGUUGCACAAGUGUUUCGGGUUUCAAUUCAGGGAGGUGACACCUUGAUGAAAUAUUUGUUCUACAAUAGGUGUUGCUGAAGCUGGAGUCAUGAUGGCGUUAGUAACCUUGGAGGUGCUUCUUAUACGGCAAACCAACUGCCAGAUGUUGCAUAUAGGAGUAUUGUGGAGCUAAUAAUAUUUGAAUAUGAGCUAGCCUACUAUUUCAAUUUGAGUUCAAAAAUUACAAAUGUCAGUGUUUGUUUUCAGUUAUCAAUCUUCUUCCCUUCUCGUUUUUUGGGUCACUUUUGAUAGCUCCAUUCAUUCUGUACAUAUUAGCUGCCGCCUCAAGCCUUGGCUAUUUUCUAGACUAGGCCUCAAUUUGCUGGAAAAUGCAGUCUUCAUUUACUGAGUUAUAUUUUUGUCUUGCUUUCUUCCAGAUCCCUCAUACAGUAGUUUGGAAAAAAAUCUAUCCAAUGGUGAUGAUGCAUGAGGAGCAGCAAGGUCAUGAUCCAUGAAGCCCUAUGUUCUUUUCCUCACCGGCUCUUUCUAGAUUGCUCAGCAGGCGAUCAACGCGACACAUGUGGAGGCUAUGAGAGCUAUGAAUGGCAUCGGUCUUGUCAUUCUUAUGAGCAGGAGCAUGGGCCACAUUACUCUUCAUGCCACUCUAAGCAGCCAGAGGUGUUGACUGCUGCUUGUAUCCUGAGAUUGAUAUCCACGUUGAAGGGAAGGGAGACCUGUUUGAGUUCCUGUAUGAAAGGAUAAAGAAGAAGGGGCAUGCUGUCAUGGUUGCUGAAGGCGUUGGUCAGGAGUUGAUUACCCGGAUUGAUGACCAGAGAGCAUGAUGUUCCUUGAUGUUAGCCUUCUUCUAUAAAGUUUACAUGCAAUUCUCCUCCAUGGUUAAGAAAAACCAAUUUAAAUGUUUUGUUUCUUUGAUGGUUACUCAUUUCUCUUACCGUUGUUGUAUCAAAACAAUUGUAUUUUCGUUGAAGGCCACUUGGGCUCAUUUUUGAGGAGAAUGAGAUGUGCGAUAAACUACUCUGAAA